UUAAAAUAUUUAAAUUUCAGGUGUUGAAAAAUCACUGUGAAAAGUGUUAAAAAGACUAAAAGCAAAGUGGGUUUAUAAAACAAAGUCCCACAAAUCAGAUUGUAUCAUAAUUUUUAUGCACAGUGGUUAUCAUUUACCCCUCUAUAGCAAACCAUUUUGAUUAUUUAGCAUAUUAAUUCAUUAAUAUGCUAAAUAAUCACAUCUAAUUUGGUAAUAUCUUCUCAUAAUUGAUAAGUUCAGGUUGUCUUUUAAGCAACUAUGGAGUAUCAAAAUAAUUCCAAGGUAAAAUAUAGUACUUUGAGUUUAGUGUCUUACAUACUAUAUUUUUCCCCCCUUCAUUUCCAGGACUCCACUAUUGUUACUCCAAUUAUUCUGAGGACUGAUCCACAAGGAUUUUUCUUUUAUUGGACAGAUCAAAAUAAGUUCAGCUGCACCCGUGAAAGUAAUGAAAUAUAACAUCUACUCUGCUCACCAGUGUACUUAGCUUGAGGUGGUCAAUAUCUCCUAGCCAAACAGUGACACCUUGGUUAAGCCAUUAUUUUGCUAGCCCAUCUGCUGCUGUCAGAUGAUAAUCUCAAGUACUGGCAUGAAGAAAGGAGCUGGAUUUCAAGUUCUGGAAAAUGGCAACUAAAACCUGAGUAAUAUUUUAAAAUUUUCCUAGUGUAGUGGAAUAGAGUCAAAAUGGGGGAUAGGAAAGACAGGUGGCUGCCCAGGGUAUAUGCAACAUACAGGGUGAUAGAAUGUACUUCUCCAUAUUAAUCUUCAUAAUAUUUUGAUAUUAUUUGUGUCAUAUAAUAAAAGGGAGGAAAGAAAAUAAGCA
RNAcentral lists this long non-coding RNA (820 nucleotides) under Phascolarctos cinereus (koala). Its description in RNAcentral is "lncRNA (ENSPCIG00000033673.1)". The record is from RNAcentral. Lineage: Eukaryota; Metazoa; Chordata; Mammalia; Diprotodontia; Phascolarctidae.